RNAcentral lists this ribosomal RNA (505 nucleotides) under uncultured bacterium. RNAcentral's name for it is "partial 16S ribosomal RNA". It matches the Rfam family "Bacterial small subunit ribosomal RNA", at positions 28 to 507 of the family's 1533-position model. The record is from RNAcentral.
GACGAACGCUGGCGGCGUGCCUAAUACAUGCAAGUAGAACGCACAGUUUAUACCGUAGCUUGCUACACCAUAAACUGUGAGUUGCGAACGGGUGAGUAACGCGUAGGUAACCUGCCUGGUAGCGGGGGAUAACUAUUGGAAACGAUAGCUAAUACCGCAUAAUAUUGAUUAUUGCAUGAUAAUUGAUUGAAAGAUGCUAUUGCAUCACUACCAGAUGGACCUGCGUUGUAUUAGCUAGUAGGUGAGGUAACGGCUCACCUAGGCGACGAUACAUAGCCGAACGGAGAGGGUGAGCAGCCACACUGGGACGGAGACACGGCCCAGACGCCUAGGGGAGGCAGCAGUAGGGAAUCGUCGGCAAGGGACGAAAGUCUGACCGAGCAACGCCGAGUGAGUGAAGAAGGUUGCCGGAUCGUAAAGCUCUGUUGUAAGAGAAGAACGGGCGUGAGAGUGGAAAGUUCACACUGUGACGGUAUCUUACCAGAAAGGGACGGCUAACUACGUG